AUCCUCCAACCUCAGCAUCCCCACUCCCUUGAGUAGCUGGGACUGCAGGCACGUGCCACUAUGCCCAGCUAAUUUUUGUAUUUUUUGUGGAGACAGGGUUUCGUCAUGUUGCCAGGCUGGUUUCGAACUCCUGGGCUCAAGCGAUCCUCCUAAAGUGAUCAGCCUCCCAAAGUGCUGGUAUUACAAGCAUGAGUUACCGUGCCUGGACAAGACUCUUUAAUUUAAAAUCACUUUUACAGAAACAGCAAAUGGGAGGCCCUGAGGCAGGAGAGUGCCUGAUGCAGUCAAGUUCCAGCAAGAGUCCAUGGCAGCUAACUCACAGUGAGCAAGGGGAACAAGGAUGAGAGAUGCAAAGAGGCCAUCAUGAGGGCUCUUGUCAGUCAGCCAUGGUGCUGAGGACAAAGAGAUGAUUAAGACACUGUCCCAGGCCUCGGGCCCCACAAAAUGCUGGGGAAGUGCCAUGCUAUGCAGCCAGCAAUCAUUUUACCUUUUAAGAGCUUUGAGAGAGACACCCACUGGAAAGGGGUGCAGAGGACCCCAGAGGAUCAACUAACCCAGUGUGGGAGGGUCAGGGAAAGUUUCAUAGAGCCCAUGACCCUUAGGGCAAAUCUUGAGAGGAAGAUGGCCAGGCAGAGGAAAUGGGAAAAUCUGUUCCAGCACCAUAUUUGCUAGAUUAUUGGCACUUUAUGUACAGCAUCUCCUUUAAUCUUCACAACUACCCUGCUACACAGCAUUUUAGAGGUGAGGAAACUAAGGCGGAGAGAGAUUAAGUUACUUGCCCAAGGGUACACAGAGACAAAGCCAGGACUAACUCAUAACAAAGUAGGUAGGUUUUGUUUGUUUUGCAUGUCAGAUUGCUUCUAGAAAUAACAGCGGGCUUCCUGUUAAUUCCAGGCAAGGUCCUGCUAUUUUAUAAUUGUGGUUUGUUCUUUCAAUGAUGGGAGCAUGUGGUGUAUGGAUCCCACCUUUCCCCAGUGCUGUGCACUCCUCCCCAUGAUGGAGAGAUUGGGAGGAACGACCUGGCUAGGAUUGCUGGCUCUCCUGACACCUUCUCAUGGCAUCCAUGUGGUUUAUCCAGUUUUCUGAAAAGUAAGUAAUUUUUAAAAUACUGAAAUUUGAAAGUAUAAGAACAUGUUGCUUUUUAAGGGAUAUUUACAUGUUUAUAUAUUUUUAUGAAUUUGAAGACUAUAAAUAUAUAAAUGCAGUUUCAAGUAUCAUUUCCUAUAAAAUAUAGGGUCUUUCUUUUCUUUUGUUUUUUUUUUUUUUUUGAGACAGAGUCUCACUCUGUCACCCAGGCUGGAGUUCAGUGGUGCAAUCUUGGCUCACUGCAACCUCUGCUUUCCAGGUUCAAGUGAUUCUCGUGCUUCAGCCUUCCAAGUAGCUGGGAUUACAGGCAUGCACCACCGUGCCUGGCUAAUUUUUUGUAUUUUUUUUUUUUAGCUGAGGUGGAUGGAUCAUCUGAGGUCAGGAGUUUGAGACCAGCCUGAUCAAUAUGGUGAAACCCUGUCUCUACUAAAAAUAUAAAAAUUAGCCAGUGUGGUGAUGCGCACCUGUAGUCCCAGCUACCUGGGAGGCUGAGGCACAAGAAUUGCUUGAACCCGGGAAGCAGAUGUUGCAGUGAGCUGAGAUCAUGCAACUGCACUCCAGCCUGGGUGACAGAGGGAAACUCUGUCUCAAAAAAAAGGGUAUGGGGGGUUCUUUUUGGGGGUGCUAAAAAUGUUCCAAAAUUGAUGGUGGUGAUGGAUGCACAUGCUAAACAUCACUGAAUUGUACCCUUUAAAUGAGUGAAUUGUAUAGUAUAAAUAAUAUCAAUAAAGCUGUUACCCGAAAAAAUCAGAUGAAUGGAA
Molecule: long non-coding RNA, 1847 nt
Organism: Piliocolobus tephrosceles (Ugandan red Colobus)
Lineage: Eukaryota; Metazoa; Chordata; Mammalia; Primates; Cercopithecidae
Exons: 3
Source: RefSeq, a predicted model, not a curated record